AUUUAAAACAGCGCCAUCUGGGAAGGUGGGUGGCGGCGGUGCUGCGGGCGCCUUGGAGUUCCUUUGCAGCACGCUCGGAAUUGCAUCAGACUCAUCAGAAAUCCCCCCGCCCGGCGCCCCGCCUCGCCGUGGUCGCGCGUGGAUCCCACGGAGGCUGGGCCGGACCUGGGCCAUCUGCGCCCCGGCGCCGCGGCUGCUCCGUCACCGGCCCUGUGCGCUCUUUGUGUGCCGAGCAGCCUAUCACAGCCCGCCGAUCCCAGACCUGGGCUUUUAUUAUUAUUAUUGUUGUUGUUAUUUUCCCUUUCUACAUCUCCAAGCUCUCCGGGCGUAUCCGCGCGUAUCUCAUUUCCACCUGCGCACACUCGGGGGAUCUUUCUCAGCCUGCGCUCGCACCCUCCUCUCCAGUCUGGAGUUUCGGAAAUGGGUUUUCCCUUCCUUGCUCGCUCCCCAAUCCCCACCCACCCCGAGCCCCGGCCUUUCCCUGGAGCCAGGCUGAGCCAGGAAGAAGUCCAGAUCCACCCAUCCCCCGGGCUCCGCAGCCGGAACAAAGGGCCCCAACAGGGUGGGGUGCGUCUGUGGGAGCGCGCGGCGAUGCUGGAAGGUAAUGUGUGUCGCUUGAAGUCAUCAUGUGAGAACUUCGGCUUUGCUCAGUGAUCGCCCACCACUUCUAUGACUUAUGAAUCUAAUAAACCGUGGCAAUAUCCGCAAGCUUAAACUCUCAACCACCUUGGCGACUACAGAAGACAAAGCAUCGAGGUGGAAAAACCUAUAGGUUUACGCAAACGUCCUCGCGGCGCGAGAGAGGCACGGUUUCCCGUGAGUUCUUACGUGAUUCUAAUGAAUGAGCCGGUUUCCCAGGGCCUGCCCAGUGCCCGGCUACGGAGCGGGCUUCCCGAUGCUGCGUGCUCGCCGCCCAGAAAGUUCCCAGACGAAGCGAGGAUUUGCAGGGGACCCCCCUCCCCUUAAAAAUAACCCAGGCUGCGCACCGCUCCCGGCCCCCUCGAUCGGUUCACACCUGGGGCUCUGGCCAAGGUGGGCUCUGCCGCAGAGCUGCCCCCGUCGCCAGGCGAUGGGAGGAGAGGCAAAGAAUCACGAUGCACAAUUUGGAAAGCUUUCUGAACAUAAGAAUAGGCAAUGAUUGCCAAGAACCUGGUGUUGAGCUCAUAUUUAAAAAGAACUCAAGGAAUCUUCCAUCUACCAAACCUAGUUUAGUUAAAAAGGAACUGAUACAAGCAUCGAAAAGAAGCAGGUGGGAGAAAGGCUUGGGACACACAAUUUAGUUUGCGAGAACUUCUGUGCAUUCCUGGGCUGAGGAACCGAGAAAAACAUCUGACUGUGGCUUAACUCAGUUUCAGAAAACCAGAUAGCCCACAAUGAGGCUGAAGAAGACCACAUGCGAUACUGAGGAAGAAUUUCUCCUACGCCACCUUCCAGCCAGAAUGUGAAUGAGAGGAAGAAAGGCAGGCAAGAAAGGGAGAAGUGACACUGUUAAUAUAAAAGUAAGUAGGAGACUGAGACAGGUUAAGAAUCCAUCAGGCCAAGGCUUGAAAAAUGUGUUUCAUGGAGGAUCGAGUUAGGAACCGGACAAAAGCGGAGAUCAGAUCUUCAGGGAGUCUCCAACCUCAGACUCACAGAAAGGCAAGUGAAAACCAGUGAGAGGGCCAGAAAUUCACUGGUGCACUGGAGUCCAGCAGGUUAUGCUUGGGACCUGGCCUGUCUAGGACAUCUGGUGGGAGACUCACAGUGCUCAACUGUCCUUGUCAUUUAAUGUGCACAUGGAUCUCUAGGUCACUUGGUAAAAAGCAGAUGCAGAGUGCGGGGUAGGAAGCUAGGAAGCAAGAUCUGGUAUUUUCAACAGCUUCCCAGGUGGAGGGGAUGUACUAUAUCCGCACAGCCAAGAGAAGCCCGCUAUGCUUUCAUCUGUUUGGUGGUUUUAUGGACAAGUCUCUAAUUUCUUUAGUAAACAAAUGAAUACAACAACAAGGAAAAGACUUGUUCACUUAGUCCUAAUGUUAUACAAACUCCUAACUCUAACCAGCUCCUGAACCUAUUAAUUCUAGAGCACAGUGAACAUCAGCCUCUAAUUAUCAAUAACUUGGCUAUCAUUUGAUUCUUUGUCCCUUGGAAUGUUUUGGAAUGGGAGAAAAAAAGAAUCAGCUUGGGAUAUGCCGAACAUAAAGCCAGAGGAAGUAGAGAAAAUUAUUCUAGUCAUGUAAGGAGGCUUGGUUAGGUCAUAUUAUGAGUCCUGAGCUCAUUCUGGGUUUCUUGCUAUAAAUAGGAUAUUUUGGAACCAGAGAAGGCACAGCAGAAGGCAACCAGAAUGACAGAGGGAUUUGGGGAAUUUGCUUCUGCUGAAAGGUUAGAGAAACUAGGUCUGCUUUCUUUUGUAAGGAGAGAAGAGAUGGUACCUCGCUGAGGUGAUAUCAUCCCAAAACUAGUGGAAGUAAUCGGAUGCGACAAGGGAGCCUUCUGGAGACAAGAGUCCAAGGGUGCUGGCAGGGAACGAAGACCAGAGCAGGGGUGGCAGCUUUGCUAAAGGCCUUCGGUGAGUGGUGCUCCUCCUGGCAAAGUGCCACUGCUUGAGGAAGGAGCAGAAAGCAGAGGAUUGAGACCAGGAAAUCAGUGAGAGGUGGCAAAGGAGGAGGUGGCUCUUCCUUCAUUGAGAACGCUUUCAGGAGGCCGUUAGUAACCCUCCAGGAGCCCUGAGUUCGCAGCAUCUGGUGAGCCCUGCAUAUGCGCCAGGCCCGAGGGCCCUGCUCCUGUAACACAACACAUCACAUUUCUGCCACCACUUCCUGUCAAAAGGCAUGGUUUUUCCAAUGAAAAAAUCAACUUAGCAAAGAAAUGUAAAUAGUUACAAUAUGCAAGCUCUUUCUCUAAGUUACUCUCCCCUUUGCAGCAGUCCUGGGAAACAUCCUCUGUUUCAGCUGGCCGUUAUUUUGCCCGUGUGGCCUGAGCAUUUGCAUUGGAUUUGUGAAGUUCAGAGCAACAGGACUGGCAGAGCAUCUGCAUCAUUUCACAGCAAGAGGAUAUGCAGCCUGGAGAGCUGCUUAUCAUUCCGUUUUGUCUACCUGGUAUUGAGGUACCUGAGAUUUUCAGUAACUUUGGAAAUUCUCCAGUGAUCGCUCGGGAAAGUGUCAGUUAAACCGUGUGUGAGUUCAGGACUCAAAUCCUCUGUCAAGACUUGGUGUCAGCUCUGCAUCUUUCCGGUAAGAGAACUUUGAGGAUAGUACUCCCACUUAGCUGCUUCUGGUGGCCUCAGGCUCCCAUGAGUGGCCCAUAACUCAGGGAGCAGCUCCCUCCAGCACCCCCAGAGGGGUGUGUGAGAAUCUCACAGGUGUGCUAUUGCUCUAGUGCUCCCCUUCUGCACGGCAGGGAUUACACCAUCCUACUUGUAACUCUGCCUCCUCUGCUUCUGCCCACAUGUUGACUUGAGAAAUCAGGAGGAAGGACUAUUCCAGGAGGAAAAGCUCACCUCUGGCAGUGCCCAAGGUAAUGUCUUAGCUAGUUACUGCUGCGUAACAAAUCGCUCCAAAACUCAGUAGCUUCAAUAAAAGUAAACAUUAAAGAAUAAGCAUUCAUUAGGCCCAGGUUUUUGAGGCCUGCAAACUCUGAGUGAGUGUAGCUUAGCAGUUCUGGCUCAGAAGAGAAGGAUUGUCCUUUUAUGAUGUGGAGGUUAGGGUUAAGCCAGCUCGAAGUCCUCUGCUGACUCAACCAGCUUUUGGCAAGCCUGGAAAAGAAGCAUGUGGGUUUGGGGUGCAGGUAGGAAUUUACUACAAGUGUCAGUGAGAGAUGGAAGAGCCUCACAGUUAGAAAAAUGAGUGGACAUGAGAUAUAUUUUGAAGAUAUAUCAAAAGGCCUUGGUGAUUGAUUGGUUUGUGAAGGAUGAGGAAGAGGGAGUGACCAAGUGCAUGUCUGAGGAAGUUUCAUGCAUGAUAAGAUGGAAGAGAAAUCAGAUUUAUGGUGUAGGUGAGGGACUUGAGGGAUGAAGUCUAGUGUUCUUAAAUCCCUCCGCUGUACCGGGACGCAGGUUUAAAGAAUAGCUACCAUCUACUGGGCAGUGCAGAUACUAUACCUAGGCACAUUACUUAUUUCUUCUAUUCGGUCCUCUUACCGAUGGGACUGUUAUAAGUUAGGCAUGGAGGGGCUGACUAACUUUCCCAGGGUGGCACAGCUUGUAAGUGGUACAGUAAUAACCAAAACUCAAGAUUUUCAUAUUCCAGAGUCUGUGCUUUUGAAUACUAGAGGAUGUUUACCUUUCUUGCUUACCCGCUUCCUUAACACAUACUCUGUUGGUUUUCAUUGCGUUAGAGUAUUCAGACAAGCCAGUUUCACUUAAUGACAUGGCCUCCUCCUCUCCCCGCACUGUGAAGCUGAGUAUCGUUUUAUUAGGUGAACUGGAAUGAAACUGCUUUCUUUAUCUCUGGAAAGACUUAUUUGUUGAACUCAGACAAUAUGGAGACCUAAACUGGGCAGCAAGCAGAGCCUGGAGAACAGUGAACACCCCUGUCCUGCAUUCCCAGGAGGCCUAAACUGUUUCGGGAACCAGUCCUUCCCCCCUCCAUCCAAGAGGAGGCCCAGACACAAAGGAAGCCUGUUCCUUUCAGAGGUGUGGGUUAUUCUUGAAACCCAAGAGCAACAAAUCAAAGAUGGGGUACACCCCGCAAAUUAGGGGGCACUAAUGUGAUGACUCAGAGUCCCAGAAUGGGACUGAGUUUGCAAAUUACUGUGGAGAUGUUCCCAAAAUCUUGACAGAUCUAUGUUAAGGCAGAAACAAGGACAUCAUAUUCUUCAAUAUUACUGUGAUUCAGAGUCUAAAUAUUGACCUAAACAUUAGAAAUGUGAGCUAAGAAACGGGAAAAGGAAUGAGCAGGCCAGGGAACUGGGGUUGUCAAGAGGCCCCUGAACCUGGUGGCUUUAGUGAAGACAGUGGUGAAAGACAGAGAUUUCAGAAGGAAAAGGAAAUCUCUAGCUCGCCUCCUUCAAGGACCUGCAUCUCAUUACCAAGGCCUCCUGCACUGGAAGGAACCUUGGCUGGCACCGGAGAGAGAGUUCUCAUUUCAAUUCCUCAAGGGUUGGCUUGUCUGACCUUGGUGACCAUGUUCUCUCUCUGGGCCUCAGUGUCUCUGCUUCCAUACAGAUGCUCAGUUGGACAUUUAUCAUGCUCCGAUGUCAAUUUUUGUGAGAUUUCCCUCUGCAGGGUCAGUACUAGAAUGGGCUUGUGUCCACUCUAAUGCUAUUAUCAAGAAGUGGGGUCCACAUGCGUCUGCUCCAAAUCCAAGUGUCUCUGUAAGUAUGAUCACCAACAGAAUACAUGCAAGUGUUACCAUGGCUGUCUUUGGGCCUUAGGGAACUUCUGGGCUGUCUUUUGGGCCUUUGGGCCUUAGGGAACUUUUAGGGUCCUCUCCUUUCCUCAUGGAGCACUUGCUUGUUCUUGGAGCACUGGUGCAGUCUGUAAGAAGUCCAGUUAUCUCUCAGCCAUGGGAAGCUACAUACAGGGGAGGAGGAGGAAUCAGUGGAGCUGGCCCUGUGGUUUGCCCUGCUGAGAUCGCCACCUGGGAGUAAAGCUAUCAUGGACCCUGCAGACCAGACUAGCCACCAGUUAAUGCUACUUUGAGCAAAAGAAUCAUCUACACAAGACUGCCUGAAUCCCGAUCCCACGAAAGCAUCAGGUAGAAUAUGGUUGUAGAUAUCAGCCACUAACUUCUGGAGUACUUGCUACAGUGAUGCAAUGAACAUUUGUAAAUGGUUUCCUGGAUGCUGGGGCUAUACCAAUUUGAUAUAGGUACGUUUUUGCCAGGUCUUGUUUGGUGCCCCAUGAGGCUGUAAAGUGCAGUUCUGAAGGGAUUGGGUUUGGGACUGAGAUUUGGAUUCUGGUGAGUUCUGUGAUUAACUACUCACCUGUUUUAUUUCAGACAAUUUAGUUGAUAUUUGAGCCUCCUUGUCCUCAUCAGUGAAGCUACACCUGCUGUGUGAGUUUUGUGAGCACUCAGUGUGGUCAUCAGGAAUCACAGUAUAAGGCAGGCAGUGGACAGAAGUUACCAGUUCUGCAGCAGUGUUGCUACAGCUGCUGGCUGUGGAAAGGAGUCAAGGACCCCUCCUACGGCUGCCAAGGGGUUGGAAGAAUUGUUCUUUCAAAUAGCAGCUCUUGGACUGUAGCAGGGCCAACAUCUCCAUUGGCUUCUUUACACCGUGGCAUUUUGGUCUGAGGAUUUAGAAUACUCACAUUUCCAGUUACACUUGGCAAGAUCAGUCCAUGCAAAGACACUGCAAACUGGAAGCAGCAUAUAGAAGUGGAAAGAAUGUAAUGAAUUUUAGAAUUAGGUCUGGGUGUAAAUGGCCCAAGGUAAAAAAUAAAACACGGUAUGGACCAGGGGUUAAAGUGCAUUUUUGGCACAUUGACAGAGACCCAAGAAGAAAAGGGCUUCAUUUCCAAGGCCCUGGCAGUUUGGUGUGAUUUCUCUUCCCAAAUAAAUAUUGGCUUUUGGACUCAACGUUAUAUGGAUAACUGUGUUUUAAAGAUAGUCCCCUCAAUUGUAAGUACCCUCACCAUGCCUACUCUGCCCUUGCUCCAAAGCCAAAACUCAAGAGAACCCCAAAAAUGAAUUUGAAGGAAGAUCAAAAUGAAGGUUUGGGUCUGAGAAACGGCAGCACAGGGAGACCUAGAUUAGGAUGGGAAGCCCAAGGGGAAGUGAUGGUGAGGGUUCAGAAGCCCAGGAAGCAGACUUCACCCCAAGGUCUCUUCCAGAUUCCUUUAAGGAAGGGAUUCCUCCCUUUUGGCAGAUCCCCUGGCCCUGCCAUGGUCUCUGCUACAGUGUGAAUCUGGAUUCUCUUCAAAUCCAGGUGUCAAAGUCUUGGACCUCACCUUGGUGCUUUUGGGAGGCAAUGGAACCUUUAUUAGUGAGGUCCAGUGAGAGGACUUGGGGUCACUGGAAAUGUAGUUGUCAGAGAAUUGUUGGACCUUGGUCUCUUCCUCUUUCUCUUCUACUUCCCAGCCAUGAAUCAAGUAGAUUUGCAUUGCCACAUAUGCCUGCCAUGAUGUGUGGCCACAGGUGACAGAAAUCCAUGGACUGAACCCUUGGAAACCAUGUACCACAACAUACUCUUCUGCUUGUAAGUGAUCUCAGGUAUUUGUCGUAGUGAGAGAAGACUGGCUGACACACUGACCACCUUCAGAUAGGAUUCCUGUAUCUACAGCAGUCCCUCUAGCUAGAGUAACAGCUCUUCAGAAGCAGAAACCAAGCCUCUAUCUUGGUUGACUUCUGACCCACAACAGGAGCUAGUACUUGGUGUAUUAAGUUGAAUCAAGGAACUUGUGGGCCAAGAAUACAAAAGGGAAAACAAAGAACAGAGUUUCCAGCUCAUUUGUUUGUUGUGUGAUAUUUUCUAGGUCUCAGUUUCCUUCCUUGAAAUGAAAGUUAGUUCUCUUCGUCUCUGGGAAGCAAACUCUGAACCUAAAAGAGGAGAGCUAAUUAAAAAGGGGUCAUUAACAAGGCUUGUGGCAUUGUCGAACACCAGCCUGACCACGUUCCAGCAGGGAUAACUGCAUUCUGACAACUUCGAGUUCCCCGCACACCUCAACUGGAUAUGGUAAGCUUUGCUUCCUGUCCCAAAUGAUUCUGAAAGACUGUCCAUGGCUGUUAAACAGAGGUGUCACCCCCUUUGUAAGCCAUUGUGAUUUUUCUUUUAAUGGGCUAUGUACUUUUGCUGAGGUUUAAUCAUAAUUUUGACUCCUGAAGACAGCAGAAGAUUUCAGGUGCUUCCCCUGGAAAGAAGGCUGCUCGGGCACAGCCCGUGGGAGCUCUUCUAGAACCUUAUGGUUUGCCUUCCAGUCUAAAAGCAGCCACUCUGCAUGAAAGAAACACUCUGUGGAAGAGAGUGAUUGCUGCGUUUGAGGGAGGAGCAGGAAAUGAGAUCAGAAUCGGAACUCCCCUCCUACAGAGGCACAGCCUUGGUUGUGGAGACGGCUGGGGGCCACAUGUCAGAGCACAGAUUCCAGAAGCUCAUUCCUUUGAGACUCAAACAUUCCCAAAGAGACCCAAUGUGCCCUUCCAUCUAAUAAAGCAAGGGGAUACUCGGGAAUUACUGAUGUGAUCAUGAGUACAUUUCUUUAUUCCUGCCUUUCUCAUGGAAUGCUGUAACUGAAGAGCUACUGUACUGUAUCUUGGCCUCUUAUUCAAUUCCUGCAAGAACCUUCUGUAAAAUCAUUUGUUUAAUAUUAAGGAGGUAAUUUAACCCAUUUUAUGAGACUUUAUUUUAUUAGAAGCAGCUAUAAUAGCUCUGCAUCUCAUCAUCUUUCUCUGGUUACAAUAAUAAUAUCCUUAUCCUCAUA
Long non-coding RNA from Cavia porcellus (domestic guinea pig), 8332 nucleotides. RefSeq lists it as uncharacterized. The record is from RefSeq and is a predicted model, not a curated record. NCBI's taxonomy places the organism in Eukaryota, Metazoa, Chordata, Mammalia, Rodentia, Caviidae. The transcript has 3 exons.